Molecule: unclassified non-coding RNA, 348 nt
Filed under: soil metagenome
Description: partial contains 5.8S ribosomal RNA, internal transcribed spacer 2, and large subunit ribosomal RNA
Rfam family: 5.8S ribosomal RNA (bases 1-120)
Source: RNAcentral
GAUGAAGAACGCAGCGAAAUGCGAUAAGUAGUGUGAAUUGCAGAAUUCCGUGAAUCAUCGAAUCUUUGAACGCACAUUGCGCCCCCUGGCAUUCCGGGGGGCAUGCCUGUCCGAGCGUCAUUUCUGCCCUCAAGCCCGGCUUGUGUGUUGGGCGUGGUCCCCCCGGUUUAGGGGGGACCUGCCCGAAAGGCAGCGGCGACGUUCCGCCUAGGUCCUCGAGCGUAUGGGGCUUUGUCACCCGCUCGGGAGGGGCCUACGGGCGUUGGCCAUCCACCAUUUUUUUUUACGGUUGACCUCGGAUCAGGUAGGAGUUACCCGCUGAACUUAAGCAUAUCAAUAAGCGGAGGA